GCCUUGUUAAUUUUCCAGGCCCAUUCUGUAGUCUCUUUGCUGUGUGUUUCUUUUGAUGAGUCAAUUUAUCUAGGUGCAGCUUUUUAUAUUUUAAAUACUGUCAUAACACUUCUAAAGUUUAGAGAACGGUACAUACUGAUGCUGAAAUCUGGCAAUUAUCUUCUAACUCUGUAUUCCAGCAACUAAUUUUAUGGCUCAGGUUAAAUUGCUUAAUUCAAUUGCAAGUAUUUUGCAUUUAUAAUAUGGCUGUAAGUGGCAUGUCUCUGAAUAACAUAAUGUAGCUACCUAUUUGUUUAUGUAGCCUUCACACUUAGAAAUAAAAAUGAGCAUCAAUCAUCAAUUAUGAAUCACUUUACUUAGGAUUCAAAGGUGUCGGGAGUGUGAGUCCCCUUGAUCAUAUUCUAUCUUGCAGUGCCUUUUAGAAAUUAUAAACGUUAACAUAUCAGCUUUCUAAUUUAAAAAUGCUAUGUACUACAAAUGAGUUAUCAGAAUAAACUCUUUCUUCAUUUAGUAAAUAGUGAGGUAUUGAUCUGAGAAUGUCAUGGGAAAUUAGAAAACAGUAACACCGGAAUGUCAUAUAUCUGUGAUUUACGACUUUGCCAAUAUGAAGUAGGAAUUGAUUACUAUUAAGGUCAAUAUCAAGAUUCAUUGACUCAGGUAUACAUAGUGACUACAGCUAAAUUGAGAAUCAAUGUUUAUAUCAUGAAAACAUAUAUCUUCGUAUGGAUAAAAAUAUGCCAAUAUAGCCUGCCAUCCUCUUAGUACCUAUUAUGUGAAUUCAAUCUCUGAAGCAUGAUAAAUAUUUUGCAAUUUAAAAACCAUCCACUGCUGCUUCUAACUAUUGGUUUCUGCAUCAUUAAUGAUAGACUAUUAGAUUAUUUCAAUUAAAAAUUGGUAUUCCUAUCAAAUAUUAAUGAAUCAUAGCUACAGUUCUCUCCAGAAUUAUUGAAGGAUUAAAACUCUCUUCAAUAGCUCUGAGGAUGACAUCAUCAAAAUAAAUAAAUAAAUAAAUCACAACAACAAUGCAAAUUGAUAUAUUCCCCUCUGGUACAGCUUACAAAGUGGGUACAGACACAAAAACUGAAUAACCAAAUAAGGUUAAUAAAUAAAAGUGUCAUCUAUGGAGUGUAUCACUAAACGACAGUAUAUCACUAAAGACAUGUCAGAAAAAUGAGUAUAACUUAAAACUAAUUUUGUAUCUCAAAAACAUGAGUAUAACUUAAAACUAAUUUUGUAUGUAUUUUAUAUCUCAACUGACCUAACAUUUCUCAUGUACAUCAGUUAAAAUUUUGAAUAAUUCUAGCCCUCCUCAAAAUUUUUCCAACUCUUUUUUUUUUUCCAAUUUUGUUGCCACAUUUUUUCCCAUACCAUUGCACUUUAAAUAUAUUUGUCUCUUAUAGCUUGGUCACAGAUGGUGCAGAUAGAGUAUGUGAUGUGGAACUCUGUCUGGACUUGAAUAGCCUAGAUGACAUAUUCACUGGGUGCUUGCUAAUGUGAAGCUUAUAAAUAAGACACUUUAAAUGAAGCAAUGAUGACAUUACAUCUCGCAUCUGAAAACAACAGCCACAGCAAUGCAACACAGAGAGAGAAGGGGAGAUAGGACCACUUAUUCCCUGGUGAGUGUUUGUUAAAUUGUGGUGCUAGAAUCACCAGGUUCAAAGAAGACUGCUUUUGGAGCUGCCAGGAAAGAGUCAGGGUAGAGCCAAGUGGCAAACAUCCAUGGCACUCCUAUCUGUCUUCAACCAUGAAGAUGUUUGUGUGUAUAUGUAUGUGUUGUAAAUAUAUUUAUUUAUGUAUUUAUUGUACUGGGGAUUGAACCCAGGGCCUUCUACUUGCUAGAUAAGUGUUCUAUUAUUAAUAUACAUCUCCAGUGCUAAAAUUUAUUUUUAAUUAACAAAUAAUCAUUAUGUAUAUAUUUAUAGGAUAUAAUGUGAUGUUUUGAUCUAGGUAUACAUUAUGGAAUGAUUUAAUCAAGCUAACUACAGUAUUCAUUACCUAACCAAUGUGUCAUAAUUUUUGUGUUGAGUUCACUAAAAAAAAAUCUAUUUUAGCAAUUUUAAAAUAUACAUUACUAUGAACUAUAGUGAACAUGUAGUGCUCGAUGCAUUAAAACUUUUAAUGCCAGUCUAAAAAUUUUGUCUGUCUAAUCAACAUCUUUCCUAUCUUCAUUCCUUUUCAGCCUCCCUCCCUUCCAGCCUCUGUUUCUAUGCAGUUAUCUUUUCUGGAUUCCAUAUACAAGUGAGAUCAUGCAGUACUUUUCUUUCUUAAUAUUUGGUUUAUUUCACCAAACAUAAUGUUCAUCAGUUCCAUCAGAGAUGUUACAAAGGAGAUAAUACCUCUCUUCUAAAUGCUGUAUGGUAUUCCAUUGUUCAUACCUACCACAUUUCCCUUACCUCAUCUAUUGAUGGACACUUAGGUUGAUGCUGUAUCUUAGCUAUUGUGAAAACUGCUGCAUUGAAUGUAGGAACACAAAUGUCUCUUCAACACACCAAUUUAAAUUCUAUUGAAUAUAUACAUAGGAGUGGGAUUGCUGUGUGAUAUGGUGAUUCUAUUUUAAGGCUUCGAAUAACUUCUGUAUUGCUUUCCAAACAGCUAUGGCUAUCCUAAUCUCCAUUCCCACCAAGAAUAUGCAGGGAAUCUCCUUUCUCCAUGUCUCUCCCAACUCCUGUUAUCAUUCAUCUUUUAACAGUAGCCAUUCCAACAGACAGGAUGUGAUAUCUCACUGUGGUUUCAGUUUGUAUUGUUCUGAUGAUGGUUUAGUGCUUUCUCACAAAUCCACUGGCCAUUUGCUCAGAUUCUUUGCUCAUUUUUCAAGGGGUUCUGUUAACUGUUAGUUAAUAACUGUUAGAUAACUGGUAGUUUUACUAUUAAAUUUAAGUUCCUCAUGUAUUUGGUCAUUAGCCCCUUAUGAUAGAUGUUUGGCAAAUACUUUUUUCUAACUGUGGUUUGUUCGUUCACUCUGUUUUGUUUUUUGGUUUUUGUUUUGCUGUGUGGAAGCUUUUUAUUUGGAUACAUCCUCAUUUGCCUAUUUUUGUUUUGUCCCAUGAACUCUUGGAGUCCUACCCACGAGAAUAUUGCCCAGGCCAAUAUCCUAGAGCUUAAUUCCUCUUUCUUCAAGCAGUUUUAGAAUCUCAGGUCUUAUGCUGAAGUCUUUUGUCCAUUUUGAGUUGAUGAUUGACUAUGAUUUGGGGUAAGGGCACACUUUAAUUCUGCUUCUAUAUAACAAGUUUUCUCAACACCAUUUAUUGGAGAGACUGUCCUUUACCCAUUGUGUGUCCUUGAUUCCUUUCUUGGAAAUGAGUUCACAAUGAAUACUUGGGAUUAUCUCUGAGAUUUCUGUCCUUUGUCAGUGGUUGGUGUGUCUGUUUUUAAGCCAGUACUAUUUUAUUUUGACUACAACAGCUUAACAAUGUAUUUUGAAAUCAGAGAAUGUGAUACUUCCAGCUUUGCUAUUUUCACUCAAAAUAGCUUUUGUUGUUUGGAUUUUAUUUUUGCAGGUCAAUUUUAGAAAUUUUUUUCUAUUUCUACGAAAGGUGACAUUGGGAUUUUGACAAUAAUUGCACUGAAUUUGUAGAAUAUUUGGGGAGAGGGCUGAGGCUGUGGCUCAGCAGUAAAGCAAUUGCCUUGGACAUAUGACGCACUGGGUUCGAUCCUCAGCACCACCUAAAAAUAAAUAAAUAAACAAAAUAAGGUAUUGUGUUCAUCUACAACUAAAAAAAAAUUAAAAAGAGAAUAUUUGGGGAGAAUGACUUUUAACAGUAUUAUUUUUUCUAAUCUAAGAACAUGGAAUAUCAUUCAUUUUUUGUUUCUUUUUCAAUGUUUUUAUUAAUACUUUAUAGUAUACACAUCUUUACAUCCUCAAGUGUUUGGAUUUUUUUAUGCUAUAGUACAUGUAAUUAUUUUCCUAAUAUUUUGAUAUUUCAUUGUUAGUGUCUAGAAAUUUUGUUAAUUGUCAUUAUGUUGAUUUUGGAACCUGUGAUUUUACUGAAUUUUAUUUAUUUUUUAUUAAUUCUAAUAGUGCUUUAUGGAGUUGUAAAUAUAAAACUAUGUGAAUGUGAUAAAAUAGUGGUAAUAUACUUAUUAUUAGUCUACAUUAUUGAGGUUCUUGGACAUAACUGAUUGUCAGAUUUCCAUAUGCAGUAGUCUCAAAAUUCAACUUGAAUUAUCAAGUUGAAAACGAAUUAAAUUCAUUAAGAAUAUGGUUGAUUCUUAAUUUAUAUAAAAUACAGACCUAAAGUAGAACUGUCAAAUGUAGAAAAAAUAAUAAUACAAUAAAGCCUAGUGCCUAACAUAGCAUUACACUUAUUGGAUUGCUAAACAUACCUGUUUUAAAGACAAUGUCAAUAACUUGUUGUGUUGUCAGUUUCUCCAAAGAAAGAGAAACAAUAAGUUGUGUUUGUGAGAGAGACAGAGAUAAAGACACAGGUGGAACUAUUUUAAGGAUUUGGCUCUCACAAUUGUGGGGUUUGAUGAGUUCAAACUCGCUGGUAUAGCAAACAGGCUAGAGAUCCAGGAC
Molecule: long non-coding RNA, 4516 nt
Filed under: Marmota monax (woodchuck)
Lineage: Eukaryota; Metazoa; Chordata; Mammalia; Rodentia; Sciuridae
Source: RNAcentral